CGUACACUCCUGCGGGAGGCAGCAGUGGGGAAUAUUGGACAAUGGGCGCAAGCCUGAUCCAGCCAUGCCGCGUGAGUGAUGAAGGCCCUAGGGUUGUAAAGCUCUUUCACCGGUGAAGAUAAUGACGGUAACCGGAGAAGAAGCCCCGGCUAACUUCGUGCCAGCAGCCGCGGUAAUACGAAGGGGGCUAGCGUUGUUCGGAUUUACUGGGCGUAAAGCGCACGUAGGCGGACUAUUAAGUCAGGGGUGAAAUCCCGGGGCUCAACCCCGGAACUGCCUUUGAUACUGGUAGUCUUGAGUUCGAGAGAGGUGAGUGGAAUUCCGAGUGUAGAGGUGAAAUUCGUAGAUAUUCGGAGGAACACCAGUGGCGAAGGCGGCUCACUGGCUCGAUACUGACGCUGAGGUGCGAAAGCGUGGGGAGCAAACAGGAUUAGAUACCCGGGUAGUCCCAUGA
Molecule: ribosomal RNA, 454 nt
Filed under: uncultured organism
Description: partial 16S ribosomal RNA
Rfam family: Bacterial small subunit ribosomal RNA
Source: RNAcentral